UACGUAGGGACCGAGCGUUGUCCGGAAUCAUUGGGCGUAAAGAGCGUGUAGGCGGCCAUGCAGGUCAGCUGUGAAAACUCGAGGCUCAACCUCGAGACGUCGGUUGAAACCGUAUGGCUAGAGUCCGGAAGAGGAGAGUGGAAUUCCCGGUGUAGCGGUGAAAUGCGCAGAUAUCAGGAGGAACACCGGUGGCGAAGGCG
RNAcentral lists this ribosomal RNA (200 nucleotides) under uncultured bacterium. RNAcentral describes it as "partial 16S ribosomal RNA". It matches the Rfam family "Bacterial small subunit ribosomal RNA", at positions 524 to 723 of the family's 1533-position model. The record is from RNAcentral.